Molecule: long non-coding RNA, 15785 nt
Filed under: Daucus carota (carrot)
Lineage: Eukaryota; Viridiplantae; Streptophyta; Magnoliopsida; Apiales; Apiaceae
Description: long non-coding RNA (DCAR_LNC000374)
Source: RNAcentral
AACGAUUUUAUAAAUAAACGAAUGGGAAUCAUGAAAACAGUACACUUUGAAGUUUGAAGUGUAGCAUUCAUUACACUCGAGUACUAAACAACGGUUUACACUUUACAGUGUCCAUUUGAAGCACAAUUUUUAUAAUAAUAAUUUGAAAUAAAUACAUGUUCCAAUCUAAAAUAUAUCAAUAUUGAAACCAGUUGAUAAAAAAGAAAUAAGAUGCAGGAAUGUGAUUGUUUGUUAAAACUUGCAUAGUUGCUUGAAUCUUCUACAUGCUUCCACAACGUUGUCCCGAUGACCAAAGGCGCUUACCCUAACAAAACCUUCACCACCAGGUCCGAAACCACUUCCAGGCAUAGUAACAACAUGGGUCUUCUCAAGAAUGUCGCUGAAAACGUCCCAUGAACUUUGGCCUGGAGAAUGGACCCAUACAUAUGGAGCAUUCUUUCCUCCGCACACUUUAAAGCCAAGUGAAUCAAAUGGUCCAUUAUGAUAUUGGUAUUCUCCUUGUAGAACCCAAUCACCUCAGGAAAAGGAGAAAAGAAAAUUCUUAAUUCCACUAGAAGCAUGCUAGUUCCUUUCGCGGUACCUCACAAGCCAGGAAAAUCAGACUCGAGAAAGGAGGUCUAAUCACUCUAUAUAAUAUGCGGUAUAUAUAGUCUGUCAUUAUUUCAGAGACUUAGUCAAUUCAGUACAAAAUGAAAGCACAACCAAAAGGUAUUUAUAAGAGACAAACAAUAGCAUAAAUAGUCUGAUUCAGUUUCUACUCCCAGUCAGCCGAGUGUUACUAGAAGAAUUUUAAAAGUUUCAACCAGUAGAAGUAUUUUUAAUUUCAUCGAGGCCACACUAAAAUAUGAAUGAUAGUAUUUUCAUCCACACACUAUGCAAUAAAUUUCCAUCUUCUGUUCUGGUCAAUAUUCUCAACCUUCUUCUAAACAGACAAUUGUUUUCCUCAACGAAUUAUAUAGAUAGUUUUGCAAUGAAAUAUUACCUCAAGGUGGUGAAAGGCAGGCUAAACCACCAGCUUGAGAUAUGUUAGAGGCCCCACUGAAGCAAGUACAGACAAUUCGACUGAAGUCCUUGGCCACAGGAAAUCCAUCAGAAAAUAACAGCUAUUUAGGAACUACGGUCCAACCUAAACGCACUCCAGUAAAUCCAGCAUAUUUGGAGAAUGAAGCAGUCUCAAUUGCAACCUGAAACAAUCGAAACUCAAUGUCUAUUGUCUGCAUAUAUAACACGCCAGCUUUGUAUCUAAUAACACACUCUCUUUAUUCAUGCUUCGGACAGAAAGACAAUACUACACUCAUCGAGCUUAAGACCGAGCUGUGAUAACACUUUAAGAACCCAGGCAAGUUGUAUUACAGAUACUGACAUAGAAAAUUAGUAAUAAUAACUCAAGCAUUCAUAAUUCAUACACUUAACACUUGUAUAUUUUCCAGAAUGAACAUACUAACAAGAUCUUUCUCUAAAGGGAAUUUUAGAUCCAUAUCUUGCGUGAGACAGCAUUGAGCUCACAUUGUUGUCAUUUGGUCAACUAAAAGAAGAUAUUGUUGCCUAUACCAAUAUAAUAUACAAUUCCUACUUGGUUUGCACAACCAAUUUUGCCCAUUGCUACAGCCAAAUGUACAUAAUGAGAAUAAAGAACUUGAAUAUCACAUAUACCAUGAGGCACUAAUUGCAUAAAUCUAUGCAUACAUAUACAAAUAUAUGUUUCUUGAAGAUAUUUAAUGAGUGACCAAUGAAAAAAGCAAUAGUUACAACCUAAAAGAAGAAUAAACUUCUGUCAGAAAUGUUUAGUGAUCGGACAUGUACAUUGCAUAUGCAGAAUCAUAGACGAUAACUGACCCAUUCUUCUUAGAAAACUGUACCAACUGAGUCAGUUGUUCUCUCGAUGCGGCAGCACCAGUUGGAUUGUUAGGCGAGCAGAAAGAUAUGAUGUCCGUUCUAGAAACAGUAGACAAAUCAGGAAAGAAGCCAUUCUCUGGUGUACAUCGCAUGUAUUCAAUGUUGGAGCACUUCUCAACAUCUUUCUGGUACCGACUAGUUUGGCCCAUAAUGACACUUGAAUCAACAUAGGCCUGCAAUAAUGGAGUAUAAAACACUGAGAACUUAAGUGCCAGAUUAAAUCUUUUUAUCUGUCACAAUCUUUGGCUUUUUAUCUUUUUAUCUAGACUUUACUGUAUCAAAAGAUUUAAAGUACAAACAGGCAGAGAAACAUAAUCUAUUAGGUAUUCAUAAAAACAAGUACACAUUGGCUAGUUACAAGUAACCUAGUAACGUAUAAGUUAAUAACCAUCAGGGCAGAUUAGGAAUAUAGAACAAACGUAGUUUCAAGAAUUCUCACAUAACAUAGUUUGCAUCUGAUAUGCACUCGGGCAUUGUACACACAUACAAAACAGAACUUAAAGGCUGGUAAAAAUUAACCACAAAGUAAAUGGAGAAACUAAGUGUGUGCCUAAUUAUUGGUACUGAGAGAAACAGCCAGUAGUGAUAAGCUUUAUAUGUGUAACAUGUUAUAAAUCGAUAUAAAUAUCCCUGUCAUCUCAGACACUAUAUUCUCAAACCAAAAGCAGCACUAACAUGAUCAUCAUUACAAAAUAAAGAUCUAGAAAUAUCUCAUUUCUAAAACUCCAGAUAUUCAAUGAAUUAUUAGUUGAAAAGACAUAAUUGGACUUCACGAACAGAAGUGGAAAGUGUUAUUCACCGGGUAUGAUGGGUCUUGUACAUCUAUAAUCUAUUGUCACAUUAGACCCAAAAACAACCUGCCACAGAGAAUGAGAAGGUUAAUUACUUUUUCCAACGAGGAGAAGUACAAAAUUACUCACGAAAAUUGUAAGAUUUUCCCUAGACGCAGACAUGUAUUCGGGUAAAAUUAUAUAGUAUAUACCUGAUGCAAUAAAAAUUUAUACAAAUGCACAUCAAUAAUAUUUGAACAUACCUGAAGGUGAGAUAUGUCACGCUUUGCCCCAUCAGAUGCAAAUACAUCAUCUUGCUCUAUACCAAGGGUGGCAUAAUAAGCCGAACAUAUUGCCGCUCUCAGUGGCUGUACAAACGAGUUGUGUUACUUUUUAACCAAGUCAAACUCAAAUAUAGCAACAUAUAAUUAAGAUACAACAUGAUUUCUUACAAUACACAGAGUAAACGUGGGUAUACUGAAAAUCAAAUUUUAACUAGUCCUCUACAAGAUGCAACUAAAACAAAUAUAUCAGCAAAAGAAUUAGGAGCCAAAAAUGGGGUAGCUAGUUUGAGAAUGGGCAAAUCAUUUCACACUUCUCAUACUCAAAAAUAUUGACCAUCUUUCCUUUUAUUUUCUACAGUGUAGCUCAUAUGGAAUACAAUUAUCAGGCUGAACUACUCCAACAUGGUGAUAUUACACUAUAUUGGAAAGAGCAAAAAGAAUCAAUUAAUAAAGAUAGCACCUGGAUGUUUAACUAUAGAUAUAUUUGAUUCUGUACAGUUAUACAAAUUCAAAGUGCAUUAGAAUGAACAGUGUACACAGUCAAUACAACAUACUUUUUCACCUUGUUCCGCUCCAUACCCACUGUAAACCUCAAGUGUUGAAAGCGCGCAUAAGCUUUCUGGCAAAGUUAAAAUUAGAAUUAGAUACAACUGAAACAAGUGACAAAAUCAUCAUUUACCUAAAUAUCGUAGUUAUAAUAUAUGUUUGGAAAUUGUAUAAAAAAUAAUUUCAUAACCUCGAGUUUAAGUGUCUAAACAAUGAAAAACAAAGACUGUUAAUUAGAUACAAGAAAAGGUUAUUUAAUAACUUAAUAAUAAAAGUGUGUUUAUGUAUUAACAGACCAGCACUACACCUUAGCCAUAUCAGAGGUGAUCACUUCUGGAAUAGGCUCAGUUGUGUCACCGAUUCCAAGGCUUAUUGGGCAUCAGGGUUCUUUAUAACUGAGCUGCCUUCCUUCGUGCUGUCUAAUUAUCCAGGGGAAAACAAUAAGUUAUAAUUAGCUAUACCAUACGCUAAAUAUGAAAGGAUGCUAUCAAGUAAAUGAGGACUACAUCACUGAUCAUUGAUGAAAUAGUCCAAAAUGAAAAAUUGACUUUCUCAAACGCAAGAGUGGGCACAGUCUUCUAAAAAAUUACUCAAAAACUAUUGAUAUCAAGCGGGGAACAACUUAAUACUUGCCAAAUAUUGCACUACAACAAGUAAAAUAACAAACCUCUGGAAAAAAGAAGUUUACCAAUAUUGGUAUUAUGAGCAACCUUAGUUGUGUAAGCUACACAUAAUGCAGACCGUUAAUUCUCAUAAAAGAAGGUGCAUUUAGAAGGUAUCUAUGUACACCAACUUCUUUAAUUAAAGGCUCUGGCAAAAGGCUACACUAUAAUUUCUGAAGGUAACAAAGGUUAUCCUUAGUUUCUGUAAUAUUCUCUCAAAAUCGAUAUUAGACUAAGUAUCGAAGUCUAAAAUGAAGGUGUGACAGAUCUCUUUAAUAUAACAAAAAUCGCAGAGAACAAGUCUAGACUGCCAUCUGGUACCUUUUUCUUAAGGUCAUUGUAUUUUCUUCAAAUAAUUAUAUAUUUAAAUUGGUUCCCCCAAUGAAAUCAACCAUCAGUGCUAAACUAAUUAAGAACAUCGAUAACCACUUACAGUCGCAUUGCAACUUCACCCGCAUAAGAACACUAAUACCACAACUCUAAUAAGUACAACACACAAUCACAAAACAUAAAAAUCCAGUCUUUGUAAUCUACCACCAAUUCUUGAUACAUUGUACACUUACAACACACAAAUUCAAGAACUUAUCACAAAUAACCAGUCUUUUCAGCAGAAGGUGUGGCAACACAUUUACAGAUUCCACUCUUCUUAGCUGGAAUCCAUACAUUUCUAGCUCUGAAACAUAACACACAAAUAAAAAAAUGACCCAGAUAAAAAAAUAUCAAUAAUGAGGUUAAAAACAUAAAUUGUUUCUAAUUUGUAAGUAAGUGCUUUGGUCAUAUGGCAUUUCCUCGCUCCGUUUAUAGGAAGCCGAGAGUUCGAAUCUUGUCGAAGAAAAGGGUAAAAUUUUAGAAGAUGGAAGAGUUACCUGAAUGUAGUAGAUAAUUUGUUGGGUUGGCCUAAGAAAGCAGAGGUUGAUGAUUGAACAGAAGUAGGCACAACAACUCUAUUAAAAACCCAAUACGAAAUACUUUGCACUUAUGAGAUCCAGCAACAAGUCUUCAUUUGGUAUCCAUUUAGCCCCAAAUGUCACACACAGAGACACAAAUACACACACUAAAACUACUAAAACUCUUCAAGAUUGAAUCUUCCUCGCACAAAAGUCAAGACCCAUAAAGGAAAAUAAAAAAAUUUCAGUAACUCUAUUAAAACCCAAUACAAAGUACUUUGCACUUAUGAGAUCCAGCAACAAGUCUUCAUUUGGUAUCCAUUUAGCCCCAAAUGUCACAUACACAAACUAAAACUACUAAAACUCUUCAAGUUUGAAUCUUCCUCGCACAAAAGUCAAGACCCAUAUAGGAAAAUCAGAAAAUUUCAAUAACUCUAUUAAAAACCCAAUACAAAGUACUUUGACAAGUGCCAGCUUGUGAGUUGAAGAUGAGAGAGAUCUAGAGAUACUAACAAUUUGUGAGACCUCUUUUAUUUGAUAGAUAAAAAUUUAACAAAAUUAAUUAAUAUCCAGUAUCUAUACAUAAUACACACACAUUCCUUUUAAUAAUACUACGUUACCCGUGUAACUCCUGAACUAUACACUACUGUCUUGAAUCAGUCCUGAGAUGGCCAAACCGGCCCGCCAGCCAACCGGCACGGCUUGCUCGUUUGGCCACCUCUAGCUCUAACCCGUAUUGGCGACGUCUCUGGCAGAAAUGCAAGGCUUUAGGCCAACAAUUAUCAGACGGUGUACAAAUCUCAUCAAUGCGUGGUUGAAUGAAUGCAAGAUUUUUUUUUCAAGUGCUCAACUAAAAAACAACUAAAGCAGAAUACAAAUGCAGUAAGAAUUCCCUGAUAUGCAUUUAUCUAAAACUGUCUCCCACACGUGCACACAGUCUUUGAGACUCACAGCACUCUAGUUAUCCUGGCCUGCAGAUUAUUUAAGAAACAAUAACCUCAUCCUAAAUAGCAGAUUCUGUAAGCAACAAGUUAAGAACCAAGUAUCUUGAAAAUUUUAAGAUAAAAUAUGAAUAACUAAUUACUUUGUGACAUAGAACAUAGUUAUUAAUCAGUAAAAAGUAAAACUCUCAUCAGUUUCAUGUUAAGUACAUGAGAAUAUGCAACAUAUCUGGCCAACAAUUAACCCAUGAGGUCAAAACAAAUAAUGUUCGCUCUCCCGCGCCCAGUCUUUGAUUAAAAGCUUUAAAGAAGCUUUGGGCAUGUCAACAUAUAGUUUUGUCCCAGGAAAUUCUUUCUUAUCUUCCUCCAGAAAAGCAAGGGAGCCAAAUGGAUUAUCUUUUUCUUUCUCAAUACCAGCUCAGACCUGAAAAGCAAAUGAGACUAAAAGGUCACCACAUGAUUUGGCAACAAAACGGUGUGCAAGAAUGAGUGCUGUACUUUGCCAAAGGAAAAUUAAGUGUUAGUCAUGCUAGUUCUUAAAUUCAGCUUUAAUCUACUGAAAAGUUAUUAUACUACUAAAAUUUUUUAUACAUAAUAAUUCAAGCUUGAAAACAUUACAUGCUGAAGGUUGUAGACAAGGAAACAUGCACAUAAACAUAUGUUAAGCUUCUACAAGAAUGAUAAAUUAAGAAGUUAUUACUUUACGAUGCACACGCUUCACAUCCUCACAUUACUAACUCCUAGAUAAUAAACUAGAAAUGAUGUCAUAUUGAUCAAAUAAGCUUUUCCGCAGCAUACUUACGUGUAAACAAUAGAGUGAUUCAAUUUAACUACCAGAUAUUAAACAGAAUCCUAUAACUGAUUGCUCAUAAUUGACAUUGGGGAAGAUGCUUGAUGAAUACUUGGUAUUUUCUAUUUCAAUUUCAGCAGACGUGGCAGAUAAAAGCCAAUUGGACUAAACAGAAAAUUUCCAGCACCAACGAACACAGGAAUUCUAUAGAAAAACAUUAGACCAGCAGCUACAUGAGCAGUAAAAUAUGUCAACCGAAUAUCAAGGGAAUUAAUGAAAAUCAAGUUCAACAAUACAAUACAAGAUGAAAACCUCAAUGCUUUUUUAAGUUAUGGCUAACUAACCUAACCCCAUUAAAGUGACUGCCUAAAGUCCCAAACUAUCUAACAAAUGCACCCAUGUAAAAGUCUUUAUCAGAUAACUUCAAAACAAUUAUAUUAAUAAAUUAAAAGUAGAACACAAAAUAAAAGUAUCAAAUGAGGCAGUACAUAAUGAGUUUGUUCAUGGUAUCCAUCCAGUUUAAAAACCACAUAAAACUGAAGACAAUUAUGAAGAACGAAGCUUGGUACACCGACAUAUUCAACUCGCAAACCACAAAAACACACGUACCAUGAUCUAACGAUGAAUAUUAAGCAUAGCCUUCGCCUCACUCUGCUCCUCCAACAAAUUGUCACUAGCAUACUUGCUCAAAAGCUCUAACUUCUUCUUCUCCACAAUCAUCUUCUCAAUCUCGCUCUCAUCCGGCAAUGGCACAUGCACCAUGAACUCCUUCUCCCCACUCUCCCUCUCCUUGAUCUCCCUCUCCCUCCUCUCCUCUUCAACCACAUCCUCCUCUUCCUCCCUCAAAAACUCCUUAACAACAUCCCCUCCACUCUUAACCCCACGUCUUGCCUCCCUCUUAAUCGCUUCCAUCUCCUCCCACUCCCUAACCUUGUCGGCCCUCAUCCUCUUCUCGGCGCCCACCUCCAACUUCUCCAAAACCCCAUCCUCAUCAUCCCUAUAGCCGUAAUAACUGGCAUCAAUCCUCUUAUAAAUAUCAUACCGAGUCCGCCUCUUGCGCAACUCAGGAGGCUUGUCAAACAACUCCUUAACACCGGGUAACUUCUUGGCAGCGCCAAAAUACCUAUACCCCGGGCCGCGGCCACUGGGAUUAGGAACAUCAACAAUAUUGCCAUCCAAAUCAGUCAUUUUUGCAGAAUGCCGAGUGUAAUUAGGCCCACCAAGCUCAAUUAUUCUGCGUUCCCAAUGCAAUUUCUCGCGUAAAAGCUUGUUAAUUUCAUCAUUAAGAUCACGAAGACGGUGCUCACCUAAACCCUCGUUCUGGAUUUCGGUGACUUUCCGACCAAUUUCACGCAUGAUUUGCUGCCUCCACUUGUCGGCUUCGGACAAAUCGCGGCACUCGGAGGCUAAGAAUGGGCGGCGCUCUUUGGGCUUCUUCUUCUCCUCGUUUUUCAUGGUGAUGAAUCGAUUCAGCAUCGAUUGGGCUUUCUCUUCGUUACGCGCCAUUGGAAUGAAUCUGAUUGAUGUGUGUCUGUGUGUGUAAUUGCCUAAUUGCACAGCAAAACCCUAGACAGAGAGCUUCUGCGAGUUUAAGCUAGUUGGUGGCUUGGUGCUGCAACCCAACCCCUCGUUGGCUUCGAAUCUAGUAUUUAUGCCCGCUUUUGUUUAAAUAUUUUUUAUUUAUUUUGUCAAAAAAAAAUAUUUUUUAUUUUGAAAAUCAAUUUAAGAAUAUAGAAAUUUAAACGAAUUUUGAAUAAAAAUGGGUUUUUUACUAUGAAACAUAUAAUAUAUAUUUAACAUCUAUCCAAGUGGAUUAUAUUAAAUUUUAUUUGUAUGUUAAAUUUGUUUUGAUAAACUUAUUCUCAAUAAAUGGGAAAUUAAAAUUUAAUUAUUGUGUUACACUUGUUUUUGUAUUCAUAGUAAGAGCAUCUCCAAUCAUCGAAAACCCUUAACUAAAAGGUGAGUUGGCAUAUUAUAAAUAAAAAUAUUUAGCCAACAGCUCGAAAAACUCAUACUCCAACCAUACUCAGAUGUUGUCUAUAUUAGGAAGAUUGCAUAUCAUUUAUUAUCAUAUUAAACUAAUAUAUUCUAUUUUAAAUCUAAAAAAUUAAUAACAUACUAUUUUUAAAUUAUAGUCAACCAAUAAUACCAUUGAAGCAAAUGUCUUAUAGUUUCAGCAAAUUUCACAUAAUGUCUUACAGGUCUCAUUUAACCAACGAUUAUAGCCAACGCCGUGGAGCAGCGUUGGAGUAGCCCAAUUUUGUAAAUAUACAAAAAACAAGUUAAGGACAUAUGGGUAAAUUCUGAUUACUGCAUUAAGCAAAUUUUUACUGCAUUUGACAAUCAUAAAAUUUUAUAGAUUUAUAGAUUUGUAUAUGGCAAAUUCACUAGCCCAAUCCAUUCUCUAUAAUCUUUCCACAUAGCCUCCUGUCUAUUCUAAACUCCUUCCCUCUAACUUUUUUCAAUUCCCGGCAAAUCUUCCAUACCUUUCUUGAAGACUAACAGCUUUCUAAUAAUUCGCAUAAGAGCUUCAGGUCUACGGAAAAUCAACAUCAAAGUAUGUUAUUCACAAAUUUAAUUCCAUGUUCGUGCAUAAAACGGGAGAAACUAGGGCUAUCCUUGUUUUAAUUUUCUUUUUCUAUUCCUACAAUUGAAUAUGUAAUUGUUAAAUUCAUGUUUCAAUCUAACUUGUAAUUAUAUAUUUUGGGAGAAUUGAUUUCAGGUUAUGUAUGUAAUUAUAUAUUUGGGGCCUGUGUAAUAUCAAUAACUUGUAUGACUUCGCUUAAUUUGGACUUAGAAUUUGUAUACUUUGAAUUUCGGAUGAUGCAUUUGUUGUAGCCUGUUAUCCUAAACCAAAAAAAGAAAAUACCGACUCAUUAAACAAAUUUAGGUAUAGAAGAAAUCAAGAAUCUGGGAAAACACCAUAUGUUAGAUACAUUUGUGCAUUUGUGCUUCGUUACUUUGAAUGGUCUAACCUGUAAAACUAGUUGAGCUCUCAUAUUGUAUAUUGUGACUUGAUAAAUUGUGUUUAUUGUAGAAAAUGGAUUCCUCUUUAAUUCAAUUGCUUAAUAAUGGGGUAUAUAAUGAAGUGAUGAGUUCGGAGUCGCCUCCAUUCUCACAAGCACAAGACGUAAUGAACAAAAUGAAAAAGGCAAAGGGUCGGUCAAAAAAUUUCACGAUUCAAGAAGAUAUGUUACUUGUAUCCACGUGGAAAUAUGUGAGUUUGGAUCCAAUAUAAGGCAACAAUCAAACACAACAAACAUAUUGGAGUAGAAUAACAAGCUACUUCAACGAGCACAAAACAUUCGAAAGUGAACGGAGCUCAAGCUCUCUGGGUAAUCACUGGUUAUCGAUACAACUUUGUGUGAGCAAAUUUCAGACAUUUUGUAAUCAGAUAGACGGAAGAAAUCAAAGUGGAGUCGGUGAACAAGACAAGGUACUUGUAAUUGGAUUAAUUUUGCAGUUUAUCACUUUGUUUGAAGCAUUGUUUUUGUCAAAUUCAGCUUAUCAUUCGAGUAGUUGUCUUUAGAAGUUUAGUUAAAGAAUUCUGCUGCAAUUUUCGGCAGGUUUUUAUAGAAAUCUGAAGGAAUUCUCAACAGUUUUGUUGUAGUUUUUUGCGAAAAAAUUCUGCAGCAGUUUUUGGCCAUUUUCUGCAAUUUUUUUGUAGCAGUUUUUUUUUAGCAGUUUUUCAGCACAUUUCACAGCAUUUUCCGCACAGUUUGCAACAAUAUUGAGUUAUUUUGGACAGAAUUUUAAAGCAGUUUUCUGGAGCAAUUUUAUUAUGUUUUUGUGAGUUCUGUGUGCAGUUUUAUCCUCAUUUUUUUACUAAAUUGUGUUGAUUUAAAUUUCAGAUUCGUGAGGCAUGUGAGAUGUACCAAAAUAUACAAGGCAAUGCUUUUCCUUAUAUGCAUUGUUGGACGGAAUUGCGACAUUCGUCAAAGUUUGCAUCCAAUCAAUCAAAAUCCAAAAAAAAAGCCAAGACAUCUCCAAAUGACAAGUCUUCUCCAACACCAUCUAGUGGUAGUCCAGCGAGUGUCAAUAAUGAAGUUGAAAUGAUGACAUGCAAGAAAGACUAAUUGGAAGAAAGACAGCAAAGAGAUUACACAAGAUAAAUUUGGAAGGCAAAGAAGAUGAAUUUAAAGUCUUACUCAUUGAAAUGAAAGAAAGCCUAACGGUUACAGCACAACAAAGAAUGGAGGCAUUUGAUAAAGUAGUCCAAAUGGAGGAGGAACGACAUGAAUAUAAGAGAGCGAAAGAGGCAAUUAUAUGAGACCUCCAUCAUGGAAAACGAUAUUAGUGUCAUGGAACCUCAUCUUGCUAGUUAUAAUAAUUCUCUCAAAGCAAAUAUCUUAAAAAAAUUUGCUUAGAUCGAUGGAAAGACAUGUUAUUAUUAUUUAAUUGAAAUGAUUACCAUUAAGAAAAAUACAAUAUGAAAGUACGAUAUAAAUACAACACUAUUACAUAUCACCGCCAUGGCAUUGCCAAAUUUGCUUGACUAGAUCAUUUUCCAACUGAAUAUGAGCUUGCUUGUCUCAAAUUUGCCGAUGUAUUUGAAUAAAUUCUUUGAUGUAUCUUGCACGACCAAUAUUCAUUGAAAUAGUUGGUGUGUCAAUAUCGGUGUCAUAAUUAAAAUCUGAAAUAUUUAAUUCCCUUUCGUCUUCAAUAAUCAUGUCGUGCAAAAUUACACAAGAUGUCAUUAUAUACUUCAUUGUGUCGACAUCCCAAAAUCGUGAAGGUCCACGUAUUAUUGCAAAUCUAGAUUGCAACACUCCAAAUGCUCGCUCAACGUCUUUCCUAGCCGCCUCUUGCGCAACAGCAAAAUACUUUCUGUUGUUACCCUGAGGAGCUGAAAUAUUUUUAACAAAAGUUGGCCAAGAAGGAUAUAUACCGUCAGCUGGAUAGUAUCCCAUCUUAUAUUGAUGCCCAUUGAUACUAAAAUUAACUUCAGGUCCAUGACCUUCUUCUAAUUCAUAAAAACAUUAGAUCGAUCCAACACAUUUAUAUCAUUCAAAGAUCCAGGAAAUCCAAAGAAAGAGUGCCAAAUCCAAAGAUCAUAUGAAGCUAUUGCUUCUAAAAUAAUAGCAGGUUCAUGAACAUGACCUGUAUAAGCUCCUUGCCAUGCAGUUGGACAAUUAUUCCACUUCCAUUGCAUACAAUUAAUGCUUCCUAACAUACUUGGAAAGCCGCGUUGUUCUGCAAAUGCCAAUAAUCUUGAUGUAUCUUUCCUAUUUGGCCGUCUCAAAUAUUCAGGACCAAAUACUUUAACAAUUUCUUUCAUAAAUCUUCUAAGACUCUCGAUAGCUGUACCUUCACCAAUCCUAAUGUAUUCAUCAACGAAAUCUGCAGCCGUACCAUAAGCAACCAUUCUAAGUGCAGCCGUAAUUUUCUAUAGGGAGGAUAAUCCACGGACUCCAACAGCAUCGGUUUUUUGAUAACUAUCAUGAGCUGUAACUGCUCCUUCAAUCCUCAAGAAUAGUAAUUGACGCAUAUGAAAUCUUCUACGACACAUUGUUUCUGGAUAGUUGGAUUAUCAUAAAAAUAGUCACAAUAAAGUCGAGCAUGACCUUCUUCUCUAUUUCAAUUGAUGACACGGUGAUUUAGUGUCGAACCACCAUGUUGUGAAGUUGAACUUUCAUUGUGAAUUUGUCGCUAUUAUUGAGCAACAGUAGUCAUUGUUAGCAUUUGUUCAGCUUCUUCUUCUUCGGCUCUCAUCAUUUCACGCAUUAAUCGAAUAAUAUUUGACAUUGUGUUUGCAAGUAUAAUAAAUUUGGAUUGAAUUCUAUCUAAAAAUUCACAAGUAGUGACAGUGGCGGAGGCACCUAUGGGUCGGGGUAGGUUUGGGCCCUCCCUGAAAAUUGGGCAUGAAAUAUUUUUCUUUUGUGUUGUGUCCACGCUGAAAUCUUGUAAAACCAAAGUGCAGGCCCUGAAAUUUCAUUUGGAAAAGCAAGAGAGCACUGAGUAGAACUCAGCAAGAGAGCAAUAUCUGUGCUUUUUGUUGUAUCCAGAUUUUACAGGUGUCAAGACUUGACGGGACAUACAUGAACAUGACGGCAUGAAUCAUCGACGUGACAUGAAGACAACUAACGUAAGAGCAGACUGCAGAUUGAAAAUCAAAAGAUAAGCUUUAAGAGUAGGUCUUAUCAGCCCCACUCUUUUAGGAGUGUAAUUCAAAUAGAAGUGCGGAUAAACGAGCAAGAAGAUAGGGGAAGUUACAUGCACGUGGGGCACUAGUUGAGCAAAAAUUGGAGAUAAGGUUGGUAACAACCUUAUCACUUUCCAACACUUGCAACCAUAUCUCUUAUAUAUUAGCACACGGUUGAAGCUCAAAAUCACCUAUAAAUACCACAAGAAGAUGAGAUAAACACAAGUGAUCUUCAUCUACAUACUUAUCAAGAUAUAUAUAUAUAUAUAUAUAUAUAUAUAUCAUCUACACACCUUUACAACUCCACGACUUCACUUUUCUUAUGUAUAAACCCAAAGCCAAGGCCCAAGAUAUGCAAAACUACGCUACACUUAUCUCCCACAUAUUGUAUAACUACAAUACACGCACCAUAGCUUUUUCAUCUUCUAUCAAGGGAGCUCUACAUCUUCAUCUCCCUAAAAUCAUUCGGCCGACAGGUACACACUACUGCCGCGGGUGCACACUGCUGCCGGACGGGAACUGCUUCUGGAGCUGACGACUGCGUCUUUUCAUACUUGUAACUUUUAUUUCUCAUGCUUGUAAGCUGAUACUUCAUCAUUAUAGUGGAUAUUUUGCUUGGACAUUCUCACCCGCGGUUUUUAACCUUUUACAAGGGGUUUUCUGCGUCACCAAAAUUGUUUGUGUUCUUGUCUUUUACUUUCUUUUCAUUACUCAUCCUUUCAAUCUUCUCGAUGUUCAUACAUAAAAACACUUACUCCAUUGUUAUAGAAAUUAAAUAGGCUUGGCUUUGCAUUUUUGUACUUAUAGUUGGGGAAAAAAAAAUUACAUUCAGCGCUCCGUCGUAUAUAUUCUUUAUGUACCAAAACGCGUGUGGCUUAGAGCUAGAGUCAUAUCAGUGAGUUUUGUUUUUCCAUCUAAUAUUUUUCGAUUCAAUUGAUAUUUUUUUUUCCUACUUGUUUGUAAGAUGCAUUAAACCUUUUUAAUUACAGGGAGCAUCUGGAAUCAAAUUUCCCAUCAUAUAAAGUCAGAGGUGGUUCGACAAAUGUUCUUCCCUGCAACUAUUCCAACAUAUUACAGGCAGUGUUGUAAAAAGCGGGAAGCGGACUUAAUCGGUGAAAUCACAAAACAUGGAUUAAUCGGUGAUUAAUUGAAUUGAUCAGGGAUUAAUUGGAUUAAUCAGUAAUUAAUCGGAGAUUUAAUCAGUUCGGCGAGCUACAGAACAGAGAUUAAUCGGUGACUAAUCGUGAUUAAUCACCGACUUUUAGAACAGAGAUUACAGGUCUCCCCCCAUUGGCCGUUACAGAUCAAAGCAGGGCCAUUGCGAAAAAGUUUUCAUAAUGUUAAGCAGGGCCGUCCAGUGAUUAACCGGACCAUGGUCAAGAAUCAAUUUUUGGGAAUACUUCACAUAUUUUGGGGCCGUUUGAGUUAGCUUAAAAUAAGUGACUUCUUGCUUAUAGUAAAGAAGUGGAGUAGAAGUGAGAAGUAAAUAACUUAAUAAAGUGUUUGGAAAAGAAGCAGAAGCUGUGAGAGAGAAGUUAGCAUUCUCAGCUUCUUAAAAGUGCUUCUACUUUUUUGCACAAACGGGUCAAGAGAAGCAGAAGCCAGAAGCUGCUUCUCUUGACCAAACAGGCCCUUUAUAAUUCGAAAAUUUCAGGAUCAUAAAAUAUCGGGAUCCUGGACGCAGUUUUUGUCUGCCCACAACACGCUUUAGAUGGUUCCUUUCCCUCGAUAUAUGUAAACAAUACUCCCUCCGUCCCAUUUUAGUUGUCACAUUUGGUUUUAUGCCGGUCAAAUUGACCAAAGUUUGACUGAAAUUUAUUAAUAUUUUAUCAUUUGAAAAAAUAAAAAAAAUAUGCCACCAGAAAUAACUUUUAAUCUACUUUAAGAUGUAAUUUUUUGUUUUUUAAAAUAAUGAAAGAGUGACUUGUAAAUUUUUUGGUCAAAAAUUAGUCAAUUUGAUAAAAAAAGGAAAUGUGACAACUAAAAUAGGACGGAGGGAGUAAUUGAUUACUAUAACCUUCCUUAAGUUCUAUUUUAAUAUCUGAAGACAAACUCUUGUUAUGUAAUUUUCUACGUAGUAGUUAUUUGUUAUGGUCCACACAAACUACUGUUUGUGGUUCAUCUAAAUGGGACAAAUUGGUUUGUUAACACUUUUCUCAAAGGUGAGCGUAUGUUUAUUGAUACCAAGGCCAAUUCAGCAGCUUUUUGUUCGAUUUCCCGUCCCAUGUUAUUAUGUACAAAAUUUUGCUAAGAUUGAAAGAGGCCUCAGUUAGCUAUAUAAUUUUGCUUAGAAAGCUAACUAAGUAAAAGAUUUAUCUCCCACUUGUAUAUCCGUGACUCUAUAAUCUCAUCAAAUAAAUUAAAGAUUCCUCUUAAGAUAUCAACAUGAAACCAGUAUAUUUUUAAUCUCGAUAAAUGAAUAAAUUUAUAAAAAAAAUAAAUAAACGGGAAUCAGGGAAACAGUACACUUUAAAGUGUCGCAUUCAUUACACUAAACAUCAGUUUACAGUGUACACUUCGAGCAUAAUUUUUAUGAUAAUAAUUGAAGCCUCCUCAAAUACCUUAAAAGAUAUCAAUAUUUUACGAAACCAGUUAGCGAAGACGAAAAAAGAUGCAGAUGGUUGUUUGUUUACUUGUAUAGUUGCUUGAAUCUUCUACAUGCUUCCACAACAUUGUCCCGGUGACCAAAGGCGCUUACCCUGACAAAACCUUCACCACCAGGUCCGAAACCACUUCCAGGCGUAGUAACAACAUGGGUCUUCUCAAGAAUCUCACUGAAAACGUCCCAUGAACUUUGGCCUGGAAAGUGGACCCAUACAUAUGGAGCAUUCUUUCCUCCGUACACUUUAAAACCAAGUGAAUCAAAU